CUCGUGCACGCGCACGCAGGCGCGCCGGGCGGGGGCGGAGGCCGCGCAUGCGCAUGUGCGGUGCCGCUAGUUCGAACUCCACUUUCCCAUAGACGCUCCAACUGGCUGUGAGACCCUACAAGAAGCUCGCCCUUGUCAUCUCCCAGCCGGCUUCUUUGCUCUCAGCUUGUUUGCUGUCGGUGUGACCCUUCCUCAUGCCACACUAAUGGCUGUCCGGCGGCACCAUCGUGCAUUCAUUUCUUCCACAGAUGUUUAAUGGGCUCCUGCUCUGCGCUGGGGAUACAGUGGCGCGUGAAACAGAUGAGGUCCCCCCCUCGUGGAGCUCAUAGUCUGGUAAAGGAAACGGACUACAAACUCAAUUUAUGUAACUACAGAGUGUUAAAAGGGCAAGGAAGGAAAGGAAUGAGAAGUCACCGAAGUGAAUAAACCUACCUGGUUUCCUGUCAUGCCUCCAUUUCUCUGCCGGGAGCUGCCUCCAAGGUGCCCCGAACAUGAUUUUCUCUGCCUCUGAAACCCUUACCUUCCAGUACCUCUGCCAGAGACAUACUUUUUUUACUCAACUUCAUGUGGGAAAUGAACUCAUUUUUGUGCUGCGUCUGUACCUUUUGCCUGUGUGCCUUGUUUUGCAUUUUUCCUUCUCCAGGGAGGAUCUGACAAACUUGAGUUAUUUUUACAUGUAUUGAUUUAUUUUAUGCUAAGUGCUCCCAGGAAAGCGGGGGAUGGGGAAUGCAGAAAAUGAGCAAAAAACUAGCUCUUGUCAGCGAGGCCCAGAGAGCCCUUCAAAACGGAUUUAUUUACCGGCCAUGGAUAAACUUCGAGACAUUGCGGAUACCCCCAAAUAAUAUGUUAAUAUUUUGACGUUGUUUAUUGAACUAAAAUAAUACGCAUACAUAGUUUAAUAUAUAUAUACAUAUACUAGAAGGCUUGUAAUGAAAAAAGCAGUUCUCUGGCCUACUCUUUAGAGGCAAUAGCCUCAACUCCUUUAGAUACUCAUCCAGAUUAGAUCCAUAUAUCUAAAUAAAUGUGUAUACUACUAAUUCUUGAUUUGUUAAUUUUAAGGGUUAUUUGUUGACUUCCUGCCGUGAUAGAUAAGAACAUGAAUGAGUCUAUCACUUCUGUUCUCCACCUCCACAUUUAUAUAACUUUUUAGUUAAACCAAUAAUCAGCAUUUAAAUUAUGUUUGUGAAUACUGUUUACUAAUGAGCCAAUAAAGGUAGUACAACCAUGCCUUCUAGAUUAUACAGCCCUCCAUUUUUCUUAGAGUUAAUUAUUGCCUUUUUUUCCUCACUUGUCAAUUUUCUAUAUUAUCUACAGUUGGCUGCCCCCACCCCAGCAAGUGUUCCAAGACUCUGUCCAAAACUCUAGCAAUAUUUUCCAUAUACUCAAAUGCAUAAAUUCCAUUUUUUUCUCUAGAGUCUUUGUCCCAGAGCCUCCUUCCUCUUGUUUCAAUCUGGGCUGACUGAUCUCUAGACUUGCUAUACAGUUGUCAUUCUGGGAUUUUCCUUCGUUGCUGUCAUGGGCUGGUUUUGCCCAUUUCAUGGAUCCCAUGCCUUCUUCUUUCUUAAUUUACUUAUUUGUUUUGCUAAAGCACCUCCUUUAGUAACCUUGUAAGGAAGAGAGAUAGGGGAUAUGUUGUUGGGAUCUUUGCAUAUUUUAAAAUGUCUUAAUUUUAUUCUAAUACUUGAUUUGUAAUUGAAUUUAUAGUUGGGCUGGUUAUUGAAUUCAAGUUUGAAAAUAAUUUUCCAUCAUAAUUUUGAGGGUAUUAUUCAUUUUCUUUUACCUUCCAGGGUUGCUAUUGUAAAAAGUCUGAUUCCUGUUCAUAUUCCUGAUCCUUCGUAUGUUACAUCUUCUCCAUCUCCAUCUCUGGAAGCAUUAGGAUUUUCUCUUUAGGCUGUUGGUUGGAAAUUUUAUAAUGAUAUGCUUUGCUGUGACUCUUAAUUGUUUUGUACUGAGCACUCAUUCAGAGUGGAAACUCAUGUACUUCAGUUUUGGAGGAAAUUUUCUUUGAUUAUUUACUUGAUAAUUUCUUCUCCUCCACUUUUUUUGGUUCUCUUUCUGGAAUGCCUGUUAUUUAGAAGUUAGAUUUCUGGAUUGAUCCUUUCAUUUUUUUCUUCUAUUUUUUGUUUCUUUGGGUUUGUUUGUUUUAUUUUUAAUUGUGGUAAAUGUACAUAACAUAAAAUUUCUCAUCUUAACCUUUUUUUUUUUUUUUUGCGGUACGCGGGCCUCUCGCUGUUGUGGCCUCUCCCGUUGCGGAGCACAGGCUCCGGACGCGCAGGCUCAGCGGCCAUGGCUCAUGGGCCCAGCCGUUUCGCGGCAUGUGGGAUCUUACCGGACCGGGACACGAACCCGUGUCCCCUGCAUCAGCAGGCGGACUCUCAACCACUGCGCCACCAGGGAAGCCCAUCUUAACCAUUUUUAAGUGUACAGUUCAGUAGUGUUAAGUUUAUUGACAUUGUAAUGCAACCAAUCUCAAAAACUCUUUUCAUCUUGCAAAACUGAAACUCUGUACCCAUUGUUUGUUUGUUUUUGUUCUAUUUUUCUGCGAUAUUUCCGUGUCAUUAUCUUCAACCAUUUUAAAUUUCAGUUUUCUUAUUUUUAAUUCCCAAGACCUUUUUUCCCCAACUCCCCUUCCCAUAUUCUAUCCUUGUUUUAUUGACAGGAAUAUCUUCUUUCUGAGGCUAUUAUAUGUUUUAUGGACAGGAAUAUCUUCUUUCUGAGGAUACUAUAGUGUGUUUGUUUUUAGUUUUUCUCUAAAAACUGCUCUUUGCUCUGUUUCUUUCUUUUCUUUUCUCAUCUCUCUCAUUUAUGUUAAUGGCCAUCCUCAAAAGUCUGGUUACUUUAGCAGCUUGUUCGUAUUUAGGGAUGAGACUCCAAAAAGCUGAGUGGAGGCUGAAGUGUGUGGGCAAGAUGUGUUGACAAGCACCUUACUACUUAAAAGGAACUAGCAGCAUUGGCUUCCUCUGGAAGCUUUUUGGAAACACAGAAUCUCAGGUCCCACCAUAAACUACAGAUUUAGAAUCUGCAUCUUAGCAAGAUCCCUAGGUGAUUCAAAUGCAUAUUAUGUAGUGAGAAGCACUGUAUUAAUGGACUUCACUCUAAGGUGCACUGAUGAUGUGCCAGAUUUCAUAGAGGGCCCUCAUAUGUCAAUAUUGGUCUUUUCUCCAGAGAAGGAUCCUCUAGUUGCUUUGGGCUUAUAAACUUGGCUAUGAGUGUUCCCAGAGUCUUAAGAAUGCUUUUAAAGUUCCAGCCCACUUCCACUUAAAGCCAUUAUAAUCCCUGUGCCUCCCCACUGCCUUCCGCUGGGUUUGAGUGUAUAGAAAAUGAAUCUCUGUUGGUGGAGAUGGAGGAAGGGGUGGAAAUGGGAUGGGCCAGUGGGGAAAUGGGAUAAUCACCUGACUGCUUGGGGACCUAGAAUGCUCUUUAUACAGAUUUUCAACCAAUCUUCUGAUUUUCUUCAUCUUGCUUUUGUUUUUUUAAACUUCUGACUGAUUGAACAAAUAUCUUUGUCCCACCACCCAGCUUCCUUGAAUCUUAACAUUUUAUAAUUAAACUUGCUUCACAGCU
Molecule: long non-coding RNA, 3564 nt
Organism: Orcinus orca (killer whale)
Lineage: Eukaryota; Metazoa; Chordata; Mammalia; Artiodactyla; Delphinidae
Exons: 2
Source: RefSeq, a predicted model, not a curated record